CCUACGGGUGACAGCAGUGGGGGAUAUUGCACAAUGGGGGGAACCCUGAUGCAGCGACGCCGCGUGAGGGAAGAAGGCUUUCGGGUUGUAAACCUCUGUCGCCGGGGACGAAAGAGAUGACGGUACCUGGCCAGGAAGCCACGGCUAACUACGUGCCAGCAGCCGCGGUAAUACGUAGGUGGCGAGCGUUGUCCGGAAUUACUGGGGGUAAGGGGAGCGUAGGCGGGAAGUUAAGUUGAAGGUAUAAACUACGGGCUAAACCGGUGGAAGCGUUGGAAACUGAUGAGCUUGAGUGAAGUAGAGGCAAGCGGAAUUCCUAGUGUAGCGGUGAAAUGCGUAGAUAUUAGGAGGAACACCAGUGGCGAAGGCGGCCUGCUGGGCUUUAACUGACGCUGAGGCUCGAAAGCGUGGGGAGCAAACAGGAUUAGAUACCCGGGUAGUC
Molecule: ribosomal RNA, 442 nt
Filed under: uncultured bacterium
Lineage: Bacteria
Description: partial 16S ribosomal RNA
Rfam family: Bacterial small subunit ribosomal RNA
Source: RNAcentral